CCUACGGGUGGCAGCAGUGGGGAAUAUUGCACAAUGGGGGAAACCCUGAUGCAGCGACGCCGCGUGAGUGAAGAAGUAAUUCGUUAUGUAAAGCUCUAUCAGCGGGGACGAAAAUGACGUUACCUGAGUCAGAAGCCCCUGCUGACUACGUGCCAGCAGCCGCCGUAAUACGUCGGGGGCAAACGUUCUCAGGAUUUACUGGGUGAAAAGGGAGCGUAGACGGCCGUGCAAGUCUGGAGUGAAAGCCGGGGGCUCAACCCGCGGACUGCUCUGGAAACUGUACGGCUGGAGUGCAGGAGAGGUAAGUGGAAUUCCUAGUGUAGCGGUGAAAUGCGUAGAGAUUAGGAGGAACACCAGUGGCGAAGGCGGCUCACUGGACUGUAACUGACGUUGAGGCUCGAAAGCGUGGGGAGCAAACAGGAUUAGAUACCCCAGUAGUC
Molecule: ribosomal RNA, 440 nt
Filed under: uncultured bacterium
Lineage: Bacteria
Description: partial 16S ribosomal RNA
Rfam family: Bacterial small subunit ribosomal RNA
Source: RNAcentral